GGGGGGGGGGGGGGGGGGGGGGGGGGGGGGGGGGGGGGGGGGGGGGGGGGGGGGGGGGGGGGGGGGGGGGGGGGGGGGGGGGGAAGCGGCGGCCGGGGACGAUCCCGGGGGUCCCGAGGGUCCCGAUCCCGCCGGAGCGGACGGAGCUGGAAUAGACGGUGCGGCGGGAGAAGCUCAUGGAGACGGUGACGCGACGGCGAGAGGCCGAGAGUCGCACGGACGGACGCACGGACGGAAUUCCGGGCGGGAAUUCUGGCCGCGAUUUAUAGCCGGGAGCGGCCCCACGGCACCUCCCCACGGCCGCGCUCCCGGGAAGGAGGGGGCGCGGAAGGGGGUGGAGAGCACCGGGACCCGCAUUUUGGGCUUCCAGCCUCCUCCCGGUGCUCCUCGUUCUCUACCCGACCUGCUCUCCCACUCCCGAGCGCUUCCCGAGCUCUCUGCAGCCUCUCUCCCCUCUCCUCUCUCCCGGCCCGAUGUCGGUGUCCAUCCCCCGGCAGCCGGGGGGGGGGGGGGGGGGGGGGGGGGGGGGGGGGGGGGGGGGGGGGGGGGGGGGGGGGGGGGGGGGGGGGGGGGGGGGGGGGGGGGGGGGGGGGGGGGGGGGGGGGGGGGGG
Molecule: long non-coding RNA, 611 nt
Filed under: Ficedula albicollis (Collared flycatcher)
Lineage: Eukaryota; Metazoa; Chordata; Aves; Passeriformes; Muscicapidae
Description: lncRNA (ENSFALG00000020347.2)
Source: RNAcentral